AGAAUAUCAAAACAACAACAAACUUGUGAACGAACGUGAAAUGUGUUGUGAACUGGUGCGAACGAACGUGCGACAGCGGUCACCGCGAUGAAAGUUAUUCAUUUCGCAACAUUUUACCUGUUUUAAUUCUGCAACCUAGAAUGGUGAGUGCAAGUAACUAUGACUGAACUGUGCGCUCAAGUAAUUCUUUCACUCAACUAGAUCAAUUCUGGUACGUUAUGUUCUCUUGACUCAAUCAUGUCCAGAAAGUAUUUCGUGUCACAGUGGAUGAAUAUUCUCAUUCUUCUAACUCUCCUAUCAAGCUACUAUGAUUGUUCCGCGGAGAAGCUAUCCAAGUCAGAUGUCACAUCCUCAAAUAGCACUGCUGUGAACUCUGGAUCAGGUCACUUAUCUCCAAUUAAACAUGACAAUUUGGAGGUGAAUGAACUUCAUAAAAAACAUUCCAGCACUGUCGUUGCUCGGAAAGGUGUUAGUCUGUCAGACGAGGAAACUAGCUCAUCUUCAGAUUCAAGCUCCAACUCAUCGUCUAAAAUUCAUUCAUCUGCAAGUGGGGUGGCCCAGAGUCCAGAAAAGAAAGUUCUCAAAUUAGAUAUUAGUGUAAAAAAUAUUAGUAAUGUGGUUAAUGAGACGAAGCCUGUUCCUGGAAAUGUGUCUUCAGUUUCCGGAAAAAGGAAUGUAACGGUAGCCUCCACUACUGCAGAACCUAUAACAAAACCACCUUUCACAUCUGAUGACUAUUCGAUCGCUGAUUAUGAUGAAACAAAAAACUCGUAUUCCUCUAAUGCUAGUAGUUUCUUAACAACUUUUUCGCUGUGUGUCAUUAUUGUUUUUCUGAUCGUAUUGAGUAUCGUUUUAUUUCUUAGGCUGAAGUAUAAAUUUUCGGUCCAUCAAAAUUAUCGCCGAGUUGAUUACUUAAUCGACGGCAUGUAUCUGUGAUGGUUGAACCUCAUGAAUUUCACUUACAACUCUUUCAAAAAGCUUUAAUCUGCUGACUCCAGGGCAAUUUGACUGAAUUGAAUUUCAGAAAUUCAAUGUGUGUUUUUAUUUAAGCAUUGCCUACUUAUUUGAUCAGACACUUUUGUUGACUUUUUAAUUCCAAAAGACUAAGUACUGCCGCGCUCUGUGGGAUGCAAUCACUGCCUGAACAAUAAUUGGGCAGCUUUCCCCUCCUCCUUCAGUUGUACAUUUUGGGAAAAAAAAAAUUUGCUCAAGAAAGCGUCCUAGAAAUGAACAAAUCUUAGGUGAAGCAAGUGAAAUAAGUGGUAGAAAAAAAAGGAACAAAAUUUGCUAGCUGUAGACAAUGGAAUCAAUUUCUGCCUAUUUCUACAAAUGUUAAUUAUUCUAUUGAUGACUUAUGGGUUUGGGUUUAGAUGUAGACAUCCUCGGUAUGCCCUAAAAUUAGGGCAUGAGGACCGUGCGGGGAACCAGGGAGCCGCAGUUUCAGAGCGGCGGAACAUUUAAAGUACCACUGAGUAAAUGGCCAGUCGUUACAAUGCUGAUCUAUAAAUACAAUCAUCAUAUCAAUGAUAUUGAACAUAACAAGGUCUUCAGUAGCAAUUUUUAGAGUUAAGUACUUUCCAAAAAAAAAACACUAUGAUAAAUAAUUUGAAUUGUCAUUUGCAAUGUUGAAUCGUGUUAAUUAUUUACAACAUGUAAGAUGAAAAUUGUACAUUUCUUUGUACAAAGCAAACAUAAUUUAAUAAACAAUAGAUGAGAGCAAUAGCUCUUAUAUUCAUCAUAUUUACACAACACAAAGAGAGAAAACUAAUUUUGGUGUUUUGCCUGCAAGGUGACACUUUCUUGAACAUCGAGGAAAGCAUACUCGAAUAUCAAACGCCACAAAAUUUUAAAUUAAAAAAAUCGUGUUCCUCUUCUUAGGCAAAACGACUCCCCGGAGUAUGGUUUUUUUUUUUUUUUUUUUUUUUUUUAAUUCUAUGGGUUUUCCACAGUUUAACAGGUAUCCUUAAUCCUUAUCAGACUUGCAUUUUUUUAUAUCAUUCCAAAGAAUAUUGAAACACCAGAAACACCAAUAACAACUCAUUGUCAAUCAGCCGUGAAAUACGAAUAUGAGAUUUUCAUAUUGAUGGACGAAGCAUCUGGUGCUUAAUAUACGAAAUACAUACUGGUGAAGAGAAAAUUUCCAUCGCUUUCAUAAAUAAUUGUUUAAUGUACCUAUUUUUAAUCCAAGUUUUCCAGUUUAGGUUCUUAAACUGUUAUUUGAAAAGUUUAAGCUUCACAUCUCUCACUUAACUCUUUUAUAUUGUCGGGUAUUCUUUUUUUAUUUUGUUACUAUAGUUUUUGCAAGUGAAACUGCAGGUCUUCAUCUAUAGGAAACAAAUUAUAAAGUGAAGGAAUUCCAUUUUUAUACUUAUCCGGCCACUCUAUAUUUAUUGAAAGGCACUCCAUCUUUCAUGUUCCUUUGUAAGAAGUCUACAAAUCUUACUAGAUCUGAUCUCCUGAAUUACCUGGGUUGAAAUUUUUAAUACAUAGCAGCUUAUUUUUUUCGUUUUCUGUGAACAGAAACUCAUGACAAUUACUUAAGAGAGUAACUAAAUGCUGAACACCAGUUUUUCUUUUCCUCCUCUUCACUUAAAAGAAUAGAAAGAGGAUGAAAAGUUGGUUUCAUCAGUGAUUUUUUUUGUCUCUGAAAGUGACAGAACCUUGCAUUUACCUCAACUAUUGUAAGCUAUUUUUAUUUUGGAAAUUCUUGAUUUCCAAAAAUGCAUUUAUUAUGCUAUUUUUUUUCCAUGAUUCUUGUUAAUCCUUUGACUGCUUUCAAUUGCAUGAAUUUUAUUCUUGGAAUUUAAAUCUUGUGCAAAAUAGACUGACAUUGGGAAAACCAGUUGUUUCUAAAAAUGUCCUGUUUUCUACAGUAUUGGUAGAGAAAUAAUUAUCUACCCCUAAGAAUUGUUGGCAAAUCCAAAGAGCAUUUGAAAAUGCUGAAGUUUUGCCAGUGAGCUAACAUGGGCCUGGAACAUCAGUUGCUCAUCAAAAUGGUGUCAUGACAGAUGUAAACUUUUAUUUAAAGCAAUCUAAAUUUUUCCUUACUACAAGAUAUAAGUACAAAAAUGUUGAUGGUAAUAAAAAAAAUAGUGUAUUUCCUUCGGAAAAUACACUAAAAGGAAGAGUCUUCUUUAAAGGCUAUGAACUUACUGAAUUUUAUAAUUCAGUUUCAAAAUAUUUACCUACUGUGUAACCAGGUAACCCAAUACAUCUUCUCGAGCAUCUUUUUUUUUUAAGGUUUUCUCCUGGAUGAGAAUAAUACAAAAAUCCUACAAUUAUUUAUUCUUCCAUUUGUAAAGAAAUGAGGGUUCUUAGGUUGAAAAUUGAAUUUAUGAAAAGUGUGAAGAGAAAUACUGAACAAUUUUUACGCUUUCAAUAGCUUAUACAUGAAAAAUUUGAUAAAAUUACUUUGAUUAAUUUUAUAAAUUUUAAAAUUACUCCUUCUUUCGAUUUUUUUCUUUGAUAUUAAUAAGACUAGGUACCUUCAGUGUAAUUCUUGCGAUGACUGUUAAGUAGUGCUUAAGAAAUAUGACCUAUAUUUAUUUGAAAAAAGAAAUAAAAGUAAGGUAUUGACUCUCGCUAAACUAUGAUAGAAUUUCCCUUGAAGGCGGUAUUCGUCCGCAAAAAAUAAGAAUCAGUGAAAGCAACCACUUUUAGAAAAAGACUAUUCCUAAUGUUUGGUAUUUUCCUGUAACGAGCUCUAACGUUUAUUUUCAGGAAGUCUAUCGCAAAAAUCUGCAAAUUUAAGUACAGGAAGGUUCUAUUCAAAAUGUUCAUUUCUGUCUCUAAAGAAUAACAACUUUUGACCUCAAAAACAGUAAUGUUUUAACUUUUAAGUUUAUUCUUCGUACCAUCAAGGUUUGUAACUUUUGAUAGUUGUGUACACUGUGAUUUUUGUUGAAAUCUCUUAACUUUAUUUUUCUACUAAUUUAUUGUGUUUUGAAAGACCUUAAUAGAAAAAAAAGAAGAAAAUGUGUCUAGGUAUAUCUGCCACUUUUUCUCUGUGAGUGUUUGUUAAUGUUAAUUAAAAUGUUUUAGUAAUGUAUCAAUUGUUAGAUUUCAUUAUUUUCCUGUUGCAUCCAUUAGAAGUCUGACAUCAUCAGACCAUGAUUGUGUCUGAAAUUAAGGGUAGUAUUAGGUCAGCUGAAAAAUUGUCAAGAUAGUACCAUCUCCUGUUAGCCUUUUGAAUCUAAUAAGUAGUUUUGACUUAGUUGAAAAACUUGCCGUAAUUUUGCCCACUGACAUUGCAUAUCUGUAAACAUGAAGGGGCGCUUUGUCAUACUUGGAUUUUUUGAUCAAGUCUGUGGAAUUAGUCCUCCAACAACUGUUACAAAAUACUCUUUGGUGGCACCCUUUUAGUGGCAAGUUUACG
This 4375-nucleotide long non-coding RNA is filed under the name Bemisia tabaci. Its description in RNAcentral is "lncRNA ENSASIAIIG012878". Lineage: Eukaryota; Metazoa; Arthropoda; Insecta; Hemiptera; Aleyrodidae. The record is from RNAcentral.